Molecule: non-coding RNA, 73 nt
Organism: Podarcis lilfordi (Lilford's wall lizard)
Lineage: Eukaryota; Metazoa; Chordata; Lepidosauria; Squamata; Lacertidae
Source: the annotation of a GenBank genome assembly
UGGAUAGCUCAGUUGGUAGAACAUGACACCCUUAAUCUCAGGGCUGUUGGUUUGAGCCCCACAUUGGGCAAAA